UGGGGAAUAUUGCACAAUGGGGGAAACCCUGAUGCAGCGACGCCGCGUGAGCGAAGAAGGUUUUCGAAUCGUAAAGCUCUGUCCUAUGAGAAGAUAAUGACGGUAUCAUAGGAGGAAGCCCCGGCUAAAUACGUGCCAGCAGCCGCGGUAAUACGUAGGGGGCGAGCGUUAUCCGGAUUCAUUGGGCGUAAAGCGCGCGCAGGCGGCUCUUCAAGCGGAACCUCUAACCCCGGGGCUCAACCUCGGGCCGGGUUCCGAACUGGAGGGCUCGAGUGCGGUAGAGGCAGGCGGAAUUCCCGGUGUAGCGGUGGAAUGCGCAGAUAUCGGGAAGAACACCGAUGGCGAAGGCAGCCUGCUGGGCCGGCACUGACGCUGAGGCGCGAAAGCUAGGGGAGCGAACAGG
RNAcentral lists this ribosomal RNA (403 nucleotides) under Verrucomicrobiota bacterium. RNAcentral's name for it is "Verrucomicrobia bacterium partial 16S ribosomal RNA". It matches the Rfam family "Bacterial small subunit ribosomal RNA", at positions 355 to 776 of the family's 1533-position model. The record is from RNAcentral. Lineage: Bacteria; Pseudomonadati; Verrucomicrobiota.